UGGGGAAUUUUGGACAAUGGGCGAAAGCCUGAUCCAGCAAUGCCGCGUGUGUGAAGAAGGCCUUCGGGUUGUAAAGCACUUUUGUCCGGAAAGAAAUCCUUGGCUCUAAUACAGUCGGGGGAUGACGGUACCGGAAGAAUAAGCACCGGCUAACUACGUGCCAGCAGCCGCGGUAAUACGUAGGGUGCAAGCGUUAAUCGGAAUUACUGGGCGUAAAGCGUGCGCAGGCGGUUUGCUAAGACCGAUGUGAAAUCCCCGGGCUCAACCUGGGAACUGCAUUGGUGACUGGCAGGCUAGAGUAUGGCAGAGGGGGGUAGAAUUCCACGUGUAGCAGUGAAAUGCGUAGAGAUGUGGAGGAAUACCGAUGGCGAAGGCAGCCCCCUGGGCCAAUACUGACGCUCAUGCACGAAAGCGUGGGGAGCAAACAGGAUUAGAUACCCUGGUAGUCCACGCCCUAAAACGAUGUCAACUAGUUGUUGGGGAUUCAUUUCCUUAGUAACGUAGCUAACGCGUGAAGUUGACCGCCUGGGGAGUACGGUCGCAAGAUUAAAACUUAAAGGAAUUGACGGGGUCAUAGCUGUUCCU
RNAcentral lists this ribosomal RNA (585 nucleotides) under uncultured bacterium. RNAcentral describes it as "partial 16S ribosomal RNA". It matches the Rfam family "Bacterial small subunit ribosomal RNA", at positions 355 to 937 of the family's 1533-position model. The record is from RNAcentral.